ACGGAAGGCAGCAGUAGGGAAUAUUGGUCAAUGGGGGAAACCCUGAACCAGCGACGCCGCGUGAGUGAAGAAGUAUUUCGGUAUGUAAAGCUCUAUCAGCAGGGACGAUAAUGACGGUACCUGACUAAGAAGCCCCGGCUAACUACGUGCCAGCAGCCGCGGUAAUACGUAGGGGGCAAGCGUUAUCCGGAUUUACUGGGUGUAAAGGGAGCGUAGACGGCUUUGCAAGUCUGAAGUGAAAGCCCGGGGCUCAACCCCGGAACUGCUUUGGAAACUGUAGAGCUAGAGUGCAGGAGAGGUAAGUGGAAUUCCUAGUGUAGCGGUGAAAUGCGUAGAUAUUAGGAGGAACACCAGUGGCGAAGGCGGCUUACUGGACUGUAACUGACGUUGAGGCUCGAAGGCGUGGGGAGCAAACAGGAUUAGAUACCCUGGUA
Molecule: ribosomal RNA, 434 nt
Filed under: uncultured Clostridiales Family XIV bacterium
Lineage: Bacteria; Bacillati; Bacillota; Clostridia; Eubacteriales; Clostridiales Family XIV. Incertae Sedis
Description: bacterial SSU rRNA
Rfam family: Bacterial small subunit ribosomal RNA
Source: RNAcentral